GGGUGAGUAACACGUGGAUAACCUACCUAUAAGACUGGGAUAACUUCGGGAAACCGGAGCUAAUACCGGAUAAUAUAUUGAACCGCAUGGUUCAAUAGUGAAAGACGGUUUUGCUGUCACUUAUAGAUGGAUCCGCGCCGCAUUAGCUAGUUGGUAAGGUAACGGCUUACCAAGGCAACGAUGCGUAGCCGACCUGAGAGGGUGAUCGGCCACACUGGAACUGAGACAUGGUCCAG
RNAcentral lists this ribosomal RNA (236 nucleotides) under uncultured Staphylococcus sp. RNAcentral's name for it is "partial 16S ribosomal RNA". It matches the Rfam family "Bacterial small subunit ribosomal RNA", at positions 104 to 334 of the family's 1533-position model. The record is from RNAcentral. Lineage: Bacteria; Bacillati; Bacillota; Bacilli; Caryophanales; Staphylococcaceae.